RNAcentral lists this long non-coding RNA (222 nucleotides) under Hordeum vulgare. Its description in RNAcentral is "long non-coding RNA (HVUL_LNC017838)". Lineage: Eukaryota; Viridiplantae; Streptophyta; Magnoliopsida; Poales; Poaceae. The record is from RNAcentral.
UUUACUUUCCUUUUUCUUUUGUAUUGCUUUCUCCCUUUUGUUUUUAUCCCGACGGCCUCACAUGCUAUCGACAAGAACGUCUCCCUCCCACACUGCGUGAAUAUUACCGGAACCAUGUGUUGUUUCAUACACAAAAUAAAUACAUAUAUAUAAAUGAUUGUUUCUCAGCUGCGUUGAAGACGUUUCACAGUGAGCUUCUUCCCUUUCUUGUUCGUUGUCUUG